UACGAAGGGGGCUAGCGUUGCUCGGAAUUACGGGGCGUAAAGCGCACGUAGGCGGUUUCUUAAGUCGGGGGUGAAAUCCUGGAGCUCAACUCCAGAACUGCCUUCGAUACUGGGAAACUUGAGUCCGGGAGAGGUGAGUGGAACUGCGAGUGUAGAGGUGAAAUUCGUAGAUAUUCGCAAGAACACCAGUGGCGAAGGCGGCUCACUGGCCCGGUACUGACGCUGAGGUGCGAAAGCGUGGGGAGCAAACAGG
This 253-nucleotide ribosomal RNA is filed under the name uncultured bacterium. Its description in RNAcentral is "partial 16S ribosomal RNA". It matches the Rfam family "Bacterial small subunit ribosomal RNA", at positions 524 to 776 of the family's 1533-position model. The record is from RNAcentral.